Molecule: ribosomal RNA, 617 nt
Filed under: uncultured bacterium
Lineage: Bacteria
Description: bacterial SSU rRNA
Rfam family: Bacterial small subunit ribosomal RNA
Source: RNAcentral
CCUACGGGAGGCAGCAGUGGGGAAUUUUGGACAAUGGACGCAAGUCUGAUCCAGCCAUGCCGCGUGCGGGAAGAAGGCCUUCGGGUUGUAAACCGCUUUUGUCAGGGAAGAAAAGGUUCUGGUUAAUACCUGGGACUCAUGACGGUACCUGAAGAAUAAGCACCGGCUAACUACGUGCCAGCAGCCGCGGUAAUACGUAGGGUGCAAGCGUUAAUCGGAAUUACUGGGCGUAAAGCGUGCGCAGGCGGUUAUGCAAGACAGAGGUGAAAUCCCCGGGCUCAACCUGGGAACUGCCUUUGUGACUGCAUAGCUAGAGUACGGUAGAGGGGGAUGGAAUUCCGCGUGUAGCAGUGAAAUGCGUAGAUAUGCGGAGGAACACCGAUGGCGAAGGCAAUCCCCUGGACCUGUACUGACGCUCAUGCACGAAAGCGUGGGGAGCAAACAGGAUUAGAUACCCUGGUAGUCCACGCCCUAAACGAUGUCAACUGGUUGUUGGGAGGGUUUCUUCUCAGUAACGUAGCUAACGCGUGAAGUUGACCGCCUGGGGAGUACGGCCGCAAGGUUGAAACUCAAAUGAAUUGACCGGNNGAGAGNGCGAGACGACGACGAGGAGGAGG